UGGGCUGGUCGAAAGACCCGGGUCAUCUUAUGGCGGUAAGACACCC
This 46-nucleotide non-coding RNA is filed under the name unclassified sequences. Its description in RNAcentral is "DUF3800-XI RNA". It matches the Rfam family "DUF3800-XI RNA". Rfam says of the family: Actinobacteria, Firmicutes, Proteobacteria, Spirochaetes (1 example). The record is from Rfam by way of RNAcentral.